Molecule: long non-coding RNA, 248 nt
Filed under: Citrus maxima (pomelo)
Lineage: Eukaryota; Viridiplantae; Streptophyta; Magnoliopsida; Sapindales; Rutaceae
Description: long non-coding RNA (CMAX_LNC002057)
Source: RNAcentral
GAGAUCAGCUGACGGACCACGCUUUGGAGUACAUGAAAAAACAAACAAAACCCUAGAUUUGAAAUCUAGGGUUUUGAAAAGAAAUGCAGGAGGUGGAGAAAAGGAGAGGAAAAGAAAGAAAAGACAAAGAGAAAGAGAGAGAGAGAGGUUGAGACUUUGAGGGUGAGAGAGAGAGGGGAGGAAUUAGGGGAAAAAAAAUAAAGAUGAAUUGAAAAAUAAAGAGCUUUUGAAUUAAAGUAUGAAAGUUG